AUAACCCCAAAAAAAAUUUUUUAUAUAAAAGGGAUAGAAUAGUCCUUUAAAAUUGAUAUAAGGGGUAAAAUGGGAAGGAAUCAAAAGAUAAUGGCAUAGUUGUAGAUGCGCUGAAGUGGUAAGGGUAAAAUUGGAAAGAAAUCAAAAGUUAAUGGCAUAACAGUAGAUAUGUUGAAGUGUUAGGGGCAAAAUGGAAAAUUAAUAAUAUUAAAAAAAUUGUGAAUAGUAUUUUGAUGUGACUUAAUUGGGAGGGUUGUGCUGUCGGUGGAAUGAAACCGAGAGAGAGGGAGUCUCAGGCGUGAAAUAGAGAGGAAAGAAAGAAAGAAAAAGAGAAGAAGAAGAAGAAGAAAGAAGAAGAGGAAGGGGAUUCGAGAGGGAAAGGGAUCCCGGUUGCACUUCCAGCUGAAGGAAAAAGUGUAGAUCUCCUU
This 428-nucleotide long non-coding RNA is filed under the name Phoenix dactylifera (date palm). RNAcentral's name for it is "long non-coding RNA (PDAC_LNC013383)". Lineage: Eukaryota; Viridiplantae; Streptophyta; Magnoliopsida; Arecales; Arecaceae. The record is from RNAcentral.